Molecule: ribosomal RNA, 440 nt
Filed under: uncultured eukaryote
Lineage: Eukaryota
Description: bacterial SSU rRNA
Rfam family: Eukaryotic small subunit ribosomal RNA
Source: RNAcentral
UCCGCGGGACGGGGCCGCCCCGCGAGGGACGGCGCCGCCCCGGGGCUCGUGAUAUCUCAUCUCGCCGCCCGUCGCGAGGCGGACGGAGGGAUGGAUGAGGUUACCUGGAAAAAAUCGGGGCGAUCUAGGCGGGCGAACCUCGCCAACGAACGAUCGGACAUGGGAUAACGGAAGAGGGCGUCGGCUCGACUUCGUCGGUUCCUCGGGGCCGAGGCACGUACGGUGAAUAGGGGACGGUCGGGGCCGCCCGUACCGGGGUCGUGAGAGGUGAAAUUCUAGGAUCGACCCGAGACGAACCGCCGCGAAAGCAUUCGGCAAGGACGCUUUCAUUAAUCAAGAACGAAAGUCGGGGGAUCGAAGACGAUCAGAUACCGUCGUAGUCCCGACCGUUAAACGAUGCCGACCGAGGGCCCCGGAGGAGUUACGUACGACCCUCCGGG